CUACUCGUUGUUCAUAUCUUACUUAUGCCUCGUCUCCUCUUCAAUUCACACGUUAUAUGGUAUGUUGGAUGAUGCACUAUCCUCCUCAGUCACAUCAUGACAUU
This is a long non-coding RNA of Cucurbita moschata (crookneck pumpkin), 104 nucleotides long. RefSeq lists it as uncharacterized. The transcript is spliced from 3 exons. Lineage: Eukaryota; Viridiplantae; Streptophyta; Magnoliopsida; Cucurbitales; Cucurbitaceae. The record is from RefSeq and is a predicted model, not a curated record.